GGAACCUUGUUGAAAUGCAGGUUCUGAUUCAGUAGGUCUAGAAUGGAACCCAAGAUUCUGCAUCUUUAACAAGUUC
This 76-nucleotide microRNA precursor is filed under the name Ovis aries (sheep). RNAcentral describes it as "miRNA (ENSOARG00000022924.1)". Lineage: Eukaryota; Metazoa; Chordata; Mammalia; Artiodactyla; Bovidae. The record is from RNAcentral.